GACGAACGCUGGCGGCGUGCUUAACACAUGCAAGUCGAGCGGUAAGGCCCUUUCGGGGGUACACGAGCGGCGAACGGGUGAGUAACACGUGGGUGACCUGCCCUCAGCUCUGGGAUAAGCCCGGGAAACUGGGUCUAAUACCGGAUAUGACUUCAUGACGCAUGUUGUGGAGUGGAAAGCCUUGUGCGGCUGAGGAUGGGCCCGCGGCCUAUCAGCUUGUUGGUGGGGUGAGGCCUACCAAGGCGACGACGGGUAGCCGGCCUGAGAGGGCGACCGGCCACACUGGGACUGAGAUACGGCCCAGACUCCUACGGGAGGCAGCAGUGGGGAAUCUUGCGCAAUGGGCGAAAGCCUGACGCAGCGACGCCGCGUGAGGGAUGAC
RNAcentral lists this ribosomal RNA (382 nucleotides) under uncultured bacterium. Its description in RNAcentral is "bacterial SSU rRNA". It matches the Rfam family "Bacterial small subunit ribosomal RNA", at positions 28 to 412 of the family's 1533-position model. The record is from RNAcentral.